Lolium perenne is the source of this 1754-nucleotide long non-coding RNA. RefSeq lists it as uncharacterized. The record is from RefSeq and is a predicted model, not a curated record. NCBI's taxonomy places the organism in Eukaryota, Viridiplantae, Streptophyta, Magnoliopsida, Poales, Poaceae.
CAGGUUCAGUUAACUCUGCCGCUGUUAGGGCUCUCCAACGAAUCGCCAGAUGGCGGCGCAUAUAGAGAUCAUUAACGAGGACAGGUGCGAGCCCAAGAAGCGCCGCCAGGAGUACAAGAAGACCUGCCCCGUCGUCAAGGCCGAUACAUGUGCUGUUCUGCAUCCGUUCUAGGCUUCCUCUCAGCAGGAUUAAUUUCUCGAGUCUGCCCGGUUGGAUUGGGGACGUAAGUCAGUGGUUCUUCGCGCAGAGAGGCAUCGCAUCAGAGUCAAUCCGUCAUCCAAGUUUGUCUUCAUCUCUGAAGAGGCUGUGAAUAGCUUGGGUUAUUUGCGUCGAAGAAUGCCCUUUGAUGAUGCCAUACAAAUAAUCAACCUCCAGAAAGAUUUGGACAAAGAUCCCACCCAUUGCUACGAGCCAAACACCUUCAAAUUGCUCAGUUUGUCAGUUACGAGACCUGGCCAGGUUUUUGGCCUUGUUGGAGCCAAUGGAACUGGAAAAGCGGCAGCACUUAAACGUGUUAUGGGAUGAUUCAAAAAUCCGCCUGCUUGGUGGGAAGUCCUUAAAUACUUGCGGGGUCUGAACUACAGAAUUACUUUACGCGUUUCUUGGAUGAUAACCUCAAGAUUGAGGAAGCCCAGGGAAGUGCUGAAGUGAUUGUGACAUACCAGCAUUUCAAGCUCACUGCCAUGCAAGGUGAAUUCACCGAUUCUCAGAUUGUUUUGAUGCUCGGUGAGAAUUGAACAGGGAAAUUCAUCAAAAUGCUGGUGACCCACCGGUAUCUAGGAGUCAUCAAUGCGAAGAAACGUUUGAUACAAGUAUUUGCUUGGUGUUGGAAUGGGUAGGACCGUAGGAGUGACCUCACACUCAUGGUAAGUAAGUUGAUUGUGAUCUCCUUUUGACAUUGUGUUUGCCUCCUGGGUCGCCCCUCCCUUCGGCGCCGAGCCACUCACCCAUCCCGCGCAUGGGUUAUGUUUGCCGCCUCUGCUGUCGGAGGUCGUCGAGCGUGGCUUUGUACGGCACGACAGCGUUGUGGAGCGACGACGCUAGGGGCCUGGCGUGGGAUGCGGCCGCUGGCAGGUCCAUGUUGAACGGGCUAGUGUUGUUACCUUUAUUGUCAGCUUCCUUCUGGUAUGGCGAUGUCGGGAAUUCCACGAUGUUGCAUCCGUUUGGGGGAGGAAUAUGAUGGGCGGUGGCUGCGAUGGAAGAUGGUCGGGGCGGCUGAGAAAGAUGAGGCCAUUAGGUGCAUGCGUUCCCCAACCUCUUUAAAGCAGCUAGCUACCCUGAUCUGGUCUUGGGACAACAUUGGCACCCCCGUUUUCCUACCGACUGCCCUGCCCUCUAGCGUCGAGCAAAUCCGCCAUCAGGUGCCUCGCUACCUCAACCUUCGGCGGUCGCUCCAAAGGAGCUGCUCCCGCUUGUCUUGCCUGAGGAUGGAGACACCGCUAUGCUGGUGCUGCCUGACGCCAUGUGCAGGGUGGCCACCCCAACUUGGACCGGCUCACCGUGGCGCAUCCCCGCGGCCCUCUCCUUCCUGCCACCGCUGUCAUGGAUCUCUUUUUGUCAUCGGUGUCGCCGACUCGAUUGUGUGCGGUGCGCACGUGGUGUUGGACGCUGGUGGAGAGGGGAAGAGGGAAUAGCUUGAUGCGAUUGCUAGCUGCUUGGAGGAUUUGUCGCUUGGGAGAAAAGGUACACACGGGAAACAAAACUAUAUUUAUUUCAGGAAAAUAAUUGUAUGGUUGUUUGGUGUUAGUGAUGU